AGUGAAACUCGUAGCUACCAUACAACUAUGCCCAAUAAUAAGGGUUGUUCAUUGCUUUACCCAAUCAUUCGAUCAAUCCGGUAUCUCAUUCCCAAUCUCACGUUUAUAAGCCUCAUAGGGAAAAGCCUCGCUGAACUAUUCCCCGAGGACGCCUGUGGACAGAUUCACUGACUGUCCUGGCAGCGCAUGGCGACUGCCCCUCGAGUGACAAAUACUCCGGAGUGCACAGCCUGUGGGGAGCGACCCCUACAAGCGCAGACAGGCUAUGUGAGCUUAAUCUGAACUCACGAACUAGUCCUACCAACUAAGGUUGGUCUCAUCAUGGAAUCAAGCAUUUCAAUACCCAAGCUCAUAGUGUUUUAACUACACUAGGGUUUUCGUGUUCAAUGUCAACUAAAUGCCACUCGUUUGUGUUCAUUGUUAACUAGAUGCCACUCGUUCUCUUGACAAGUUCUCAAUACCCUAGUCUACACUAUACUAGGUUUUCAUUGCUACAUGUACAACCGACACAUAUAGGGUUAACUAUCUCAUGUUCCACUCAUGCAUACUAGGUUCUCAUUCAUUAUAUCCACAAACCCAACUAACGCUAGCAUGCAAUGAUAUGUACAAUUACAUUUAACACCCUAUAAUGCUACAUCACU
This 641-nucleotide long non-coding RNA is filed under the name Ananas comosus (pineapple). Its description in RNAcentral is "long non-coding RNA (ACOM_LNC038937)". The record is from RNAcentral. Lineage: Eukaryota; Viridiplantae; Streptophyta; Magnoliopsida; Poales; Bromeliaceae.